GACGAACGCUGGCGGCGUGCUUAACACAUGCAAGUCGAACGGACAGGCCCUGCUUUUGUGGGGUGCUCGAGUGGCGAACGGGUGAGUAACACGUGAGUAACCUGCCCUUGACUUUGGGAUAACUUCAGGAAACUGGGGCUAAUACCGGAUAGGAUCUCCUGCUGCAUGGUGGGGGUUGGAAAGUUUCGGCGGUUGGGGAUGGACUCGCGGCUUAUCCGCUUGUUUGUGGGGUAGUGGCUUACCAAGGCUUUGACGGGUAGCCGGCCUGAGAGGGUUACCGGGCACAUUGGGACUGAGAGACGGCCCAGACUCGUACGGGAGGCAGCAGUGGGGAAUAUUGCACAAUGGGCGGAAGCCUGAUGGAGCAACGCCGCGUGCGGGAUGACGGCCUUCGGGUGGUAAACAGCUUUCGCCUGUGACGAAGAGUGAGUGACGGUAAUGGGUAAAGAAGCACCGGCUAACUACGUG
RNAcentral lists this ribosomal RNA (468 nucleotides) under uncultured bacterium. Its description in RNAcentral is "partial 16S ribosomal RNA". It matches the Rfam family "Bacterial small subunit ribosomal RNA", at positions 28 to 507 of the family's 1533-position model. The record is from RNAcentral.